This 74-nucleotide transfer RNA is filed under the name Marmota monax (woodchuck). RNAcentral's name for it is "tRNA.Ala". The record is from RNAcentral. Lineage: Eukaryota; Metazoa; Chordata; Mammalia; Rodentia; Sciuridae.
UUGGGGAUAUAGCUCAGUUGGUAGAGUGCUUGCCUUGCACACACAAGGCUCUGGGUUUAAUCCCCAACACCAAA